This 273-nucleotide ribosomal RNA is filed under the name uncultured bacterium. RNAcentral describes it as "partial 16S ribosomal RNA". It matches the Rfam family "Bacterial small subunit ribosomal RNA", at positions 524 to 796 of the family's 1533-position model. The record is from RNAcentral.
UACGAAGGGUGCAAGCGUUACUCGGAAUUACUGGGCGUAAAGCGUGCGUAGGUGGCCUGUUAAGUCUGAUGUGAAAGCCCCGGGCUCAACCUGGGAAUUGCAUUGGAUACUGGCAGGCUAGAGUGCGGUAGAGGGUAGUGGAAUUCCCGGUGUAGCAGUGAAAUGCGUAGAGAUCGGGAGGAACACCAGUGGCGAAGGCGACUACCUGGACCAGCACUGACACUGAGGCACGAAAGCGUGGGGAGCAAACAGGAUUAGAUACCCUGGUAGUCC